Molecule: long non-coding RNA, 1256 nt
Organism: Rhagoletis pomonella (apple maggot)
Lineage: Eukaryota; Metazoa; Arthropoda; Insecta; Diptera; Tephritidae
Exons: 3
Source: RefSeq, a predicted model, not a curated record
GCCUUCAAUAGUUGGGAACCACUGGUAAGUGUUCUGCACCGCUGUUCGCUGCAAAGCUACACCGCUGCGGGAAAACUACCGGUGGGCUUCUUUCGAAGUUCAAGAUUAUUUAAUGCGAUGUUCGGUUUGAACUGCGGUUCUUUUUGAUGACAGCAGCCAGACCGACAGCAGCAUUGAGUCAGCGAUCACUAUUUAAGUUCGCACCGGCGUACGUUGGUUUUGCUUCUCAGCAAAACAUUUUGGUCCUCCUGAGCCGUCGAACUCCCACGAUACAUAACAGCGGAAGUACAUAUGUACAUCAAUACCUAACUCUAACCCGAAUUUCAGCAGAGAAGGAAGAAAAAAGCCAGCAAAUCUUUUUAAGAACAAAAGCCCGAUCGAGGAGCAAAAGUCCGAGGAAACCACGAACAAGUCAACUCAGCUAUAUUAAACGAAAUACAUACAAACAUACAGCAUCAAGACCAUGGAACUAGUUCCCGUAGACCGAUCGACACCAUCAUCGCCACGCGCCUCGCCUCCACCGCCACCGACAGAUGCCUCCGCCCAGCGCGCAGCCAGGGAAGGCAGGUCCAAAUGUAGAGUUUGCCACCGGUCGCAUCCUCUCCGGCAUUGUAGGCGAUUCUUAGAUGCCAACUACGAGCGCCGGCUGCGCCUUGUGCUUCUCCAUCGAUAUUGCUCGCGAUGUUUAGCCCACUCCCACACGGCCAAGAACUGUCUGAGCAACGGGACGUGCCAAUAUUGUGAGGAAAAGCAUCACACCCUGUUGCAUGCAAACCACCGUCUUUCUCCCCGACGCCAACUUCCCCUACUUUUAACGCAGCUUUCGGGAACAGUCACCGUUCUACCCACCGUUGCGGUUUACCUACACAUUGGGCCUCGGAAAAUUUUAGCUCGGGCUCUGAUAGACCCUUGCUCGCAAACGAGCAAAAUUUGCCACGCGCUGGUGCACCGGCUCCGCCUAAAGACGGUGCCCGUGGCGAAUAUCAGCAUGUGCGAGCUCCACGUAAGCUCGUCAAAUGAUGCACAUGUGCGAUUCUCCUUGCCGGCGAGGGUACUGGCGGAGAUCGGGUUGAAAACUCCCGCUCGUCAUCUCAGCCAAGCGACGCGGGACAAAUUCAUUAACCUCAAGCUCGCCGAUCCUGGUUUCCACACUUCCUCUGCCGUCGCCUUGAUUUUCGGUGGGGAUGUAUAUCAUAAAAUCAUAAGAGGCGAACUUAUUGCUUAUCCUGGGUUUCCUACCGCCCAGAACUCUAUUU